UACGGGGGGAGCAAGCGUUGUUCGGAUUUACUGGGCGUAAAGGGCGCGUAGGCGGUCGUGACAAGUCACUUGUGAAAUCUCCGGGCUUAACUCGGAACGGUCAAGUGAUACUGUCGGACUAGAGUACAGAAGGGGCAACUGGAAUUCUCGGUGUAGCGGUGAAAUGCGUAGAGAUCGGGAGGAACACCAGAGGCGAAGGCGGCGACCUGGACAAGUACUGACACUCAACUACGAAAGCGUGGGGAGCAAACAGG
RNAcentral lists this ribosomal RNA (254 nucleotides) under uncultured bacterium. RNAcentral describes it as "partial 16S ribosomal RNA". It matches the Rfam family "Bacterial small subunit ribosomal RNA", at positions 524 to 776 of the family's 1533-position model. The record is from RNAcentral.